AGNANAGCAUUAUACAGCGAAACUGCGAAUGGCUCAUUAAAUCAGUUAUCGUUUAUUUGAUAGUACCUUACUACAUGGAUAACCGUGGUAAUUCUAGAGCUAAUACAUGCUAAAAAUCCCGACUUCGGAAGGGAUGUAUUUAUUAGAUUAAAAACCAAUGCCCUUCGGGGCUCUCUGGUGAUUCAUGAUAACUUCUCGAAUCGCACGGCCUUGCGCCGGCGAUGGUUCAUUCAAAUUUCUGCCCUAUCAACUUUCGACGGCUGGGUCUUGGCCAGCCGUGGUGACAACGGGUAACGGAGGGUUAGGGCUCGACCCCGGAGAAGGAGCCUGAGAAACGGCUACUACAUCCAAGGAAGGCAGCAGGCGCGCAAAUUACCCAAUCCCGACACGGGGAGGUAGUGACAAUAAAUACUGAUACAGGGCUCUUUCGGGUCUUGUAAUUGGAAUGAGUACAAUUUAAAUCCCUUAACGAGGAACAAUUGGAGGGCAAGUCUGGUGCCAGCAGCCGCGGUAAUUCCAGCUCCAAUAGCGUAUAUUAAAGUUGUUGAGGUUAAAAAGCUCGUAGUUGAACCUUGGGCCUAGCCGGCCGGUCCGCCUCACCGCGUGCACUGGCUCGGCUGGGUCUUUCCUUCUGGAGAACCUCAUGCCCUUCACUGGGUGUGCUGGGGAACCAGGACUUUUACUCUGAACAAAUUAGAUCGCUUAAAGAAGGCCUAUGCUCGAAUACUCUAGCAUGGAAUAAUAGAAUAGGACGUGUGGUUCUAUUUUGUUGGUUUCUAGGACCGCCGUAAUGAUUAAUAGGGACAGUCGGGGGCAUCAGUAUUCAAUUGUCAGANGUGAAAUUCUUGGAUUUAUUGAAGACUAACUACUGCGAAAGCAUUUGCCAAGGAUGUUUUCAUUAAUCNACGAAAGUUAGGGGAUCGAAGACGAUCAGAUACCGUCGUAGUCUUAACCAUAAACUAUGCCGAUUGNAUCGGANGGCGUUAUUUUUUGACCCGUUCGGCACCNUACGANAAUCAAAAUGUUGGGCUNCNGGGGGGANUAUGGNUCGCANGCUGAAUNANAANGGGGNGNANC
RNAcentral lists this ribosomal RNA (1077 nucleotides) under uncultured fungus. RNAcentral's name for it is "SSU rRNA". It matches the Rfam family "Eukaryotic small subunit ribosomal RNA", at positions 62 to 1116 of the family's 1831-position model. The record is from RNAcentral. Lineage: Eukaryota; Fungi.